This is an RNA transcript of Nyctereutes procyonoides (raccoon dog), 3284 nucleotides long. It is a transcript of the gene named histone H2A type 2-C, with no coding region annotated. NCBI's taxonomy places the organism in Eukaryota, Metazoa, Chordata, Mammalia, Carnivora, Canidae. The transcript has 2 exons. The record is from RefSeq and is a predicted model, not a curated record.
UUCAAGGAGAAGGAAGUGGAACGGAUAACCAAUUUGGUGUAAUUUAUAAGAAUUACCGGGAGGGGUGAAGGGAAGUAGCCCAAUCAAGCAGCCAAUAGGGAAGCAGAAAGCAGACUCCGUUUGCAUCCUGCACUGCGAGGAAAUGACGGAUUCCGAAAGUACCUACCAAUCGCUGGGAGCCACAUUAAAGCCCCUUAUUUGCAUGCCAGGAUUUUUAAAGAAAGAACCGUUUCGGACAGAACGCUGUUUUGUUUUGCCUUUUACUGAAUGGCAUUUUUUUUUAUUUUCAGCCUAAAGAAGGGGAUGGGGGCCUCUUCCCCCCCCCCCCCAGUUUGGAGCUGGAAGGGAAAUCCUCAGAAGUACCCAGACGGCCUGCAGAGGGUCUCCAGGAGAUGUAGAGUUGCUCCCGCUCAAGGCCAGACUUCCAAAAAACUGUUCCUAAGGCCGCCUGCCUUCUCUGCUACGUGGUCGUCGUGGCCUUCGGUGCGGCUUCGCCCCACCCCCAGCCGCCUCCGCUCUUCGGAAUCCUGCGUAACCGAGGACUGGAAUAGAUUUGUCUUCUUCCUCUUGACCUACAGGAGGCAUCCGAUACCGCCUUGAAAUAUGCUCCCUGGGCUUGCAAAAUGUCCUCCGACUUUACUCCUCCCGGUCCUUUUCCUCUAUCGGUCCCCGCUUUCCCGCGUCCGUCUGGGCUCUGUCUCCUAUCCAACACCCCCCUCCAUCCUUUACUCUUCCCGAGGAGUCUUCCCACUUCCAUGCUUUAAAUUACAGACAUCCAGAUUUGUUCCAGAAGCUUAGAUCCUUACACCAACUGCUUACUGGGAACUUCAAACCAUCUGUCCCAACAAUUCGACCUAUCCAAAUGCGAACUCACCCAAACAACCCCCUGUCGCCCGUUUGCUCUCUUUCCCAGAAUUACAACCUAAGCCAGAAUCUACACCCACCUGCAUCUCAACAGCAUAUCCGGUUACUUCCGUAAGGUUUCUUCAGCCUUUUCUCCGUGCUCCUGUCUGCCUCCUCAUUGCUCUCUUAGACUUCAGCAGUAGCCCUGCAGACCUGUUUUCCUUAAUCUUCCAACUUCCUUCUAGAGAAACCUUUCCUGAAAGUUUUAUUUCUUCCUCCUCAGCUUCCCACUCUGGGGUGUUCCACAUCCCUCACACCAUUUGCACCCUCUCCUGAGUAUCCCAUAAGGACAGGAGGUAGAAUACAAUAGAAAAAAGAAUAGACUUAAAUUUUAUUCCUUGAGCUCAUUUCUGAUAUUCUUUAUCUUCACCUUUAUUAAAUACAGGCUACCUACCAGGCAAUGGGUAUACCGGUAGCUGAAAACUAGAAAAUAGAGAAAAUCUAAACUCUGGCAGUUAAUAUCAACUAUCUGUAGAGAUCCCUGGUAAGAACGCUGGUAUAGAUUUGUGAAGGUAAUUCUAACUCAAUCAGCUAUAUCAUUUCAGAAGAUGCAUGUGUUAAUAGAAAGAUGUGGUCCACACAGAGUCAAAACAGGGCAAUUCCAGUAGGAAUGUGUUGUUUCUUCAGCAUUAAGCAUGUAUAUUAUGUCUGCUAGACACAAAGGUUUGGGCUAUUAUAGAAGGGUCCUUGGUUGUGAAAACAUUAGCUUUUUCUCACAACCUGGGUGAAAUAGUUCUAAAGACUAACACUCAGCUCAUAUUCUAGGCUCAACCACUUUCCAGUUAUUCUACAAGAUAAAAAUAUGAGACUGAGAAGGGAUGAGGCAAUUAUGAGAAGAUACAUCACUAGAGGGGAAUGAAAUUACAUUCUAGGCUAUUCAUAAAUUUCUGGUGUUUUGUUUUGUUUUGCUUUGUUUUUUUCCGUGAUUCUCUCCCCAAUAAGCCAGUCCACUCUGGAAGUUCUUUUUUUUUUUUUUUUAAAUAUUUUAUUUAUUCAUGAGAGGCAUAGAGAGAGAGGCAGAGACAUAGGCAGAGGGAGAAGCAGGCUCCUUCUGGGGAACCUGAUGCAGAACUUGAACAGAGGACCCCAGGAUCACAACCUGAGCCAAAGGCAGAUGCUCAACCACUGAGCCACCCAGGUGCCCCAACUCUGGAAGUUCUGAUAGUGUUAACUUUUCAGACCGAGGCUGAAACCCAAGAUAAUGGGGACCCCACUACAAAUCUGUCACCUUGAGUGGCCCUGCUUGAGGGCACAGCUGACCUCCCCCUCUCUUUGACCUCCUUUUUACUUCUAUCACAGUGACCCUGUGCUGUUAGGAAAGGUGAAGGACAAAGAGAUGAUAUGGAACCUUAUUAUGUGAUAAACCCUAUGCUAGGGGCUAUGAUGCAGAUGCAAUUAUUUGUGUUAUAUAUAGAUAAGGAAAGUGAGACUCAGAGAAGCUAAAGCACUUGGUGAAGGUGACACAGCCAUUUACUAAGACAUGAUUAGAACUCAGGUCUGCCUGACUCAAAAAUUGUGCACUUCACCACUUCAUUCACACUGCUUUACUCACCAGAUGUUGGGCUUCAUGAAGCCACUUAACUUGUACAGCUUCCCUUUCUUCCUCUAUUAAAGAGAAAAAGAGAAUGAGAGAAAAUUAGAUUUAGUAGUUUAGAUUCAAUCCAGCUAUAAAACCCUAUUAGAUAAGUCUAGAUAGGCCAUUAUCCUACAAAUUAUAUGAGACUCAAUUACUAUCUAUUGCUCCCCCAAGCUCUUUUCCCAGCAUUCUUACCAGAAGUGUUAAAACAUGAAAUAGAGCAGGCCAUCCCUAAAAGUAGUGCACUAUCACAGACAAAUAGGCUGGAUCUUAUUUCCUUUAACAAAAAGGCAACUGAGUUCCUUCCCAGGCAAUCUUGUCAAUCAAGCAUUUAUUUUGCCUUCUCACCCCAUUCCACCACUCUAACCAUAGUCCUCUCUCUUGCCCUGUCCCUCCACCUCUCUCACCAUGACCCUCAGCCUCCUCCAUACUGAGCUACACACCAUUCAGGAAAGGCCUUUCCACAGUUACCUGCCAUUGCACAUACUGUGGCCUUUGGCAAGAAGCUUCGUCCUCCUCUUGAGCUAGCAGAAUCCUCCUCAUCCGGCUGGUUCUGCCCAGAAAUCACCUGCUCCUUCAUGAAGUCUUCCUUUCCACUACCCACACAGCCUCCAUAUGCCCACCUCUCUGUUCAAAUCCUGGUGAUAGCACUUACCACUCUGUACCAUGCUUGGACUUUGCUCUCGCAUCCUUUCCGUGACCCCCUCAGGAGACAGACCAUGUCUUUUUGAAUCUGAGUCCUUAAUUCCUUCUACCUGGCUCUUCAUAGGGUAAUUAAAUGUUUGGGGCAUGAAUAAAUGGCAUA